GCCCUCCCGUAUCCCCGGGCCCCAGGCUGUGCGCGGUGUCUGCGGCUGGGACCCGCCCAAGUGACACGUACAGUUGCCCCUAGCAUGACUGCGAUCUGAUCAGCAACCACCAGAACCUGACUCCUGUGUCCGGCGCCUUAGUCCUGGGGCCUGGUCACUGCCCAUCACUCCGGACCUGCCAUGGCUGCUGCUUUCACGUCCACGCCUGUCAUUUCACAGCCCCAGGUAUGUGAUUCAGGACCAGCAUAGGUUUGGGCUUGUCAUUGUAUUGUUGAAUAUUUCAGUUGAGUUUCGGAAAGUGUGUUGGAUUCUGGAGGUCAUGUGUCUACAGAAUGAUCAUUUGGUGGGGAUUUGGGUAGGGGAGUUUUUGUGAAGGGGGUGCUUUUGGUUCUCAGUGCCUGGGAUGUCUGGCUGCCCCUGUAGGCCCCAAACUUCCCAUCAAGACAGCCAAUAGUGUAUAUGUGUGAGUGGGUUGCUUUGCUGUACAGCAGAAAUGGACACAAUAUGGUAAAUCAACUAUAAUUAAACAAAAGUACUGUUAAAAAAAUGGAGUCUUUCAUGUAAAAAAAAAAAAAAAAAAAAAGACAGCCAGUAGCAAAUCCUGCUAUUUUCCCUCCUUUGGCUUUUUUAGGGCUUAUCUCAGAACAGAUCUAAUCUUCCAGCAAGUUUUCUGAAUAUUGUCUUGAUGUCCUCCUCUUAUAAUGAUGAUUAUUUUCCCUGGAUAUGUUUGAGUAACUUUGAGGAGAAAAAUGCAAUUCUAGAAACUUCUGAGCAGCGGUAACAUGAGUUCCUCUUUCUGUCCAGGGAAGAACAGUAACAUAGCAGGAGCACUGUUCUGUCUGUUUUACAAUCUGACCUCUUCAAUGGGUUAACGAUCCGGCAUUGCCGUGAGCUGUGGUGUAGGUUGCAGACGCAGCUCGGAUCCUGCGUUGCUGUGGCUCUGGUGUAGGCUGGCGGCUACAGCUCUGAUUCGACCCCUAGCCUGGGAACUUCCAUAUGCCAUGGGAGCGGCCCAAGAAAAUGGGAAAAAGACAAAAAAAAAAAAAAGCAAAUCUCGGUUUAAAUCCCGUAGCUAGGGGAUCGUUCAGUAUAGGUAUCUCUCCAGCUAAUUUUUUUUUUUAAAUCUCUAGAAUUCAGUAGUACUCACUGUGUUCACAGAUUUAAAUGGUGAAAUAUCUGUUAAGUGCUUUAUACAGUAUCCAUCUCUUAAUAGAUCCCCGACAUAUGUUAGCUCCUUCCUUUUCCCUCAUAAUUAUUCUUGGAGUUUCUGUACAGGGAGAAAGUGAUUACCUCUGCAUAUGGGCUGUGUAUAUGACGAGCUUAUGUUGCAUGCCAGAAGGUCCAUCAGAAGAAAGCCAAGUUAGAUAAACACUCUACAGAAAACUCCAAUGUAUUGCCAGGAAUAAAUGCAUGUGGAGAUAAACAUUGAGAUUUCUGACUUACUCCAUCGUGAACCAUGUUUCUAUUAGAAGUUAAAUUUGUUCUCAUAUUGCAGUGUGAAUUCAUCUAUGCCCCCUUCUGUGUUUAUAAACUCGGAGCUUGAGAGGAUAUCUUAUUUCAGAAUCUGAGGGCACAUUUUGAAUUUUCUGUUCAUAAGACGAAAUUGUACUGGGCUACCUACGGUAAACUACAAAUGAGACCUUUCACGUUUGUUUCUUUUUCUUUCUGAUACAUCCUUUCUAAUUGGUUUAGUGUUUAAUGAUUAAUGGUGCUAACUCUUUAUCCUUCAAAGGGAUGUGGCUUCCUCCCUCUUACUGCCCAUUAGGGUUCUCCUCGCCUGUUUUCCUCUUGUCAUGCUUAGAUUCUCCAGCUAUUUUUCUUUGAACUUUAGUUGCUGCUUUUCCAUAAAUAAAUGCUAAGGUGGGAUGAUGUCCUGCACUUUUUACCAGCUGAGGAAAUGAUAAUCAUAGGGUCUAGGAGAUUUAUGUCUUUAGAGGACACAAUGCUGUCAUUUCAAAAAAAAAAAAAAAUCAGGAGUUCCGAUUGUGGCUCAGUGGUUAACAAACCUGACUAGUAUCUGUGAGGACAUGGGUUUGACCUCUGGCCUCGCUCAGUAGGUAAAGGAUCUGGUGUUGCCAGAAGCAGCUUGGAUCCUGCUUUGCUGUGGCUGUGGUGUAGGCCAGCAGCUACAGCUCUGAUUUGACUCCUAGUCUGGGAACCUUUAUAUGCUGAGGGUACAGCCCUAAAAAGAC
RNAcentral lists this long non-coding RNA (2192 nucleotides) under Sus scrofa (pig). Its description in RNAcentral is "lncRNA (ENSSSCG00065022964.1)". The record is from RNAcentral. Lineage: Eukaryota; Metazoa; Chordata; Mammalia; Artiodactyla; Suidae.